CUACGGGGUGCUGCAGUGAGGAAUUUUGCGCAAUGGGGGAAACCCUGACGCAGCAACGCCGCGUGAGUGAUGAAGGCUUUCGGGUCGUAAAGCUCUGUCAAGUGGGAAGAAUCUGCUUUAUGUUAAUAUCAUAUGGCACUGACGGUACCACUGGAGGAAGCACCGGCUAACUCCGUGCCAGCAGCCGCGGUAAUACGGAGGGUGCGAAGCGUUACUCGGAAUCACUGGGCGUAAAGGGCGCGCAGGCGGUUCGAUUAGUCAGAUGGGAAAGCCCGGGGCUUAACCCCGGAAGUGCAUUUGAAACUGUCGAACUUGAGUAUGGGAGAGGGAAGUGGAAUUCCUGGUGUAGAGGUGAAAUUCGUAGAUAUCAGGAGGAACACCGGUGGCGAAGGCGACUUCCUGGACCAAUACUGACGCUGAGGCGCGAAGGCGUGGGGAGCAAACAGGAUUAGAUACCCCAGUAGUC
Molecule: ribosomal RNA, 466 nt
Filed under: uncultured bacterium
Lineage: Bacteria
Description: partial 16S ribosomal RNA
Rfam family: Bacterial small subunit ribosomal RNA
Source: RNAcentral